Molecule: small nuclear RNA, 61 nt
Organism: Ailuropoda melanoleuca (giant panda)
Lineage: Eukaryota; Metazoa; Chordata; Mammalia; Carnivora; Ursidae
Source: Ensembl
GUGCUUGCUUUGCAGCACAUAUACUAAAACUGGAAUGUUACAGAGAAGAUUAGUAUGGCCC